AUGCUGCACUUUGCUCUUUUACAAGAGUUGCUGCUUUCCCAACACCCCCACCUGCCAGGAGGAGAGGAAGCCAGAGGGAGAAGUCUGGCCUCUUCCAGUCCAUUCCCAGACCUGCCUCAUCUUCUACCCUAGAAUGAUUGACAAUAGAAACAUCCAAUUCCUUCAACCUCAUCCACCAGGUACUCUUUAGCCUUAGGCAAGGUGAUAGUAACAAUUUAAAUGGCAUACCUCAAAGUCUGGGUUAUUCAAUUUAAAAAACCCAUGGGUGGGUUGCCAACAGUUAAGGCAAGGUACAGCUGUUCCAAGGCUGUUCUAGGUCUUCACUGAAGCAUGAUGUUAAGAGAAGGUAAGACCUGGCUCCUGAUAUAGACUAUUCUAAACCAAUCUGUGAGCAAAUCCUUGUAUAAAAGACAUUCAUAUAUCCCAAGGGAAGGAGGCAAUUUUCAGGUACAAGGCUAAAUCCAUAUUUAGGAAAAAAAAUAUUAUCUGCCUCUGUCUCUGCAAAGGUGUAUUUAUGCUAAACAAAGCAAAAUGUACCUUGACCAAUGGCACAUUUAACAUGUUUAUCUGAAGUAUUAGCUUUCAGAUUAAUGGGGACUUAACAUUUUUGUCUAAGAACAAUAGGUGGUUAUUAUGUUUAUAAAAGUAUUCUGGUGUUUUUCCUAAAGUAAAAGAAUCUGCUCCAAAGGUGAAUUAAUGUUUCCAUUAAUACAUUUGAGAUGAUGUUUUUCAGUUAAUUAAAAAAAAAAAAACUUGAUUUCAUUUAAUAGAGAUGAGGAAGGCCCCUAUCCAGACUAGGGGCAGGAGGGAGUGAGGAUGGAGAAGCUGUGCAGGAUAGGGAAUGACUGCAGAGAGUGCUGAAGGUUGGGUUAGGAGCCAAGUGAGCUGGAGCAGAGAGGUCAGGAGAGAGUGAUCCAGACAUGAGACAGCUUUUGUGAAAUCUUAGAGACCAGAGAGAAGGAUGGUGCCUUCAAGAGGAGAUGAUAUGUUGGUUGCAAGAUCAUGGAGGGGGUGACAUUUUGGUUGAACAAUAGUGACAUUCACACUUAUUUAUGACUCCAAAAAAACUUCAAACCAUUAAACUUUGAUUAUGAAAAUCACUAGGCAAUUUGUAAAACAGACCCUCUCACCU
RNAcentral lists this long non-coding RNA (1132 nucleotides) under Felis catus (domestic cat). RNAcentral describes it as "lncRNA (ENSFCAG00000047210.1)". Lineage: Eukaryota; Metazoa; Chordata; Mammalia; Carnivora; Felidae. The record is from RNAcentral.